AAGCCACCAUCUGUUCCGGCCGUCAUGACAGUGUUUUUAAAAAGCUCUGGUUACCCCAUACACACUACACCGCCCAACCAGUGUUUUCAGGUUUACACACUCUGGAGAGCGUUUUAGAAAAGCUAUGUUUUCGGGGGAGAAAAAUGACGUUUCAGUGUGGACAGAGGGUCAAAACGAAGAGAAAAAGCUUCGGGUACGGAUUUAUCCGGUCUAGUGUGUACGUAGCCUCAGGCACCACUCACAUCAGGAUGCCUGUUAAUGACUAAACGUCUGUUGGUCACUUUGAGAGCUCGGUUGAUGUUCUCUUUCUUAGAGGUUGCAUUAGAGCUUAUUAUCAAUAUGUAAUAUUAUUGUUCUUGUGUAAGUCCAAAGGAAUGUUAUGUGCUAUGAGAUAACAGGGAGUGACCAUUAAAAUGUCUAAUUGAUUUAUGAGGAUUGUGAUAAUGGACACAGGGUGUGGCUGAAAAAGACAUGCUAUGCUGAGACAAAGGAGCGAAGAGCUUGUCUGUUUCUGGAUGCCCCUAUGCGCUUGUGGAACUCGUAUUUCUUGGGGGUGCCUUUCCUGGUUUUGUCAUACUUCAACCGAGGGCCAGAAAUCACGAUUGGUGCCUCCGACUCAGGGAGUCCAGUGGAAGGAUACACAAUAGAGCUGAUCUUUAGCUAACUCCAGGUGGGCUGGCACAUGGAUGGGAACUCCUUGUCUGGAGAAAGUGAUCUUCUUCAUGACUCAUCGCUUAAUCAAUAAUCAAGUCUGUUAUGUGUGCACUGACUUAUACUGAUGAACUGUUUGAAGCCAUAUGCUUGAUGCCUUGCUCGCAUACGUCCUUCACUGUAGAAAGAUCACACUGGAACUUUGCAACAUGGUUGGACAAUUCAUUCUUAAAUAUGCUAUUAACUGGAAUGUAACUCACCCAUGAGUCAUGAUCUUAAGCAUGACUUUUUGAAUGGCACCAAUGGGCAAUUGCAGAGAGGAGCAAAUCAGGACAUGUCAUGUUAUCUGUGAGACAUCGUAAUUGCAGCAAUGGCUCAGUACUGAACAUUUCAAGGAGCUAAUGGCUUACAUUGCUCAUUAUAUGUCUUUGAUCUAACCUUAAACUUUAUCUUAUUGCAAUAUUCUCAGUGCCUGACUCCAAUAAGUAAGUGACCUCUAUUUUCAUUAUUACAACAUGCACCCAGUUGUUUAUGCAUGUAGCUUCUUAAGAUAGUGUGAGAUGGUUAAGGAAGGAUAUAAAAGACAUACCUCCUUAUUUAAGGAAGGAUGCUAAUGUAUUAUUUCCAGUUCAGAGGGCUACUGAUUGAUACCUAGAAGGGCACGUUGGAAUUUAGAGAACUGAAUGGGUAUUUGAUUGAUACACACAUAACUGAAUGAUCUUGACAGCUUGCAUGUAAAGAGACUGUUUGUUGGAGAACCUAGAACUACAUUCAUGGUUUAAAAAUAGGAAGUCAUCCACUUAAGAUAGAUGAUGCUUGUUUGCCUUUCAGAUGUCUUUAGUCCUCUUUCUCAGAAGGCAUUGGAAAGGUGUCUUUGCAUAUUUCUAAAACAGAGGUUGAUAAAAGGUUAUUGCAGUUUAGUAGGAAUUAAAGGUUAAGGUUAUAAUCAGCUUUUAUUUAAUAGCCCAACAGAGUUAAGAAGUUGAGUGGUCUACUUCUAUUACUAUUUCAUGUCUUUAUACUAUAUGUUCAUGCUUAAGACCACUAAUAGGCAGAUAGUAGGCACAGGAACCAUUCUACAAUACCGUGCUCUGAAGACACACACGAUCAACAAGCAGAACUGUUCUUUAUGUAUUUUACCUCCACUUCUUGUUCAAUUUCCACCAUAGCUCUGGGUUGUUAGUGACAUCCUGUUCCAUCUAUAAAGGGUUUUUCACUGGACUGGGAUAUUGUCUCUUAACUCAUACAAUAGAUUUUAACCUUCAUGUAAUGCCAUUUAUAGCUCCAUCACCAUCACAAAUAGGCCACACUGUCAGUUUUGGGCUAUCACAUGAUCUUUGAAGUACAGAGUCAUGUUAUCAAUCUUAUUUUUUGUAUACACUGAUGGAUAAUUAUAAUGCAGCUGAAUUAUAUUUCCUUAUGUCUUUACGAUCUAAUAUUGUGUAACAAAUCUGGGCACAAUAUAAAGGGAUUGUAGUAUUAUCAAAGUGCUUCAUUUAGAUUAAAAAAUUCCAAUUGAAAAUCUUGAGAAGGAUGCAUUUAUCUUUGAAUUGAUGUAAACUAUGACACUUUCAACAUGAAUAUAUUAAUGAUACGAACACUCAGAGCAUUAAAAAAAUCCAGAGACUGGAAAGCUUCCUGACAAAGUGCAAGUGCUUUUGACAGCAGUGAAAUGAUAAAAUGAAUCUUCUCCAGUGCAACAUAACAUAAGAUAACCAAUAUCAUCAUCAUUUGUAACACUACACUGGAAAAAUUGUACAAACCGGAAAGAAAAUUAUUAGAACAAAGAAAUUAUUCAGAAAAAUUUUAAUAUGCUAGUUAGUAAAUUAUGGAACAUGAAAAUUGAUCCCAGCCCAUAAUGUAUUAAGGAUUAUAUUUAGAAAUGCAUUUUAUAAGAACGAUUUUUGUAUGUCAAAUCAGCUGAAGUAAUUUUUUUCCUCAUUUCUAUAUCAAAUAUGAAAAUGACAGUGGAACUAAUUGUUAGAACUAAAUGUAAUUCGCUAGUAAUGACCUGGGAAAUAAUUAACAUUCAUAUAGAUAAAAAUCAAAAAUGCAUCCAGAUUGAAGGGAAUUACUGCAAUGAUAUAGUCAUAAUGCCAAGAAAAAAUAAACCUAAUUAACCUCGGUGCUUGGGUCUUGUUUUCAUGUCUGCCACUGUUUACCAUAUGAUGCCGCAGAACACUGUAACAAAGUGGAAGACUUUUCCUGAGUGGUAGGAUAUAAUCAGCAAGAUGUAAGUUAAUAAGAGGGAGGAUAUUCAGGGUGGGCAGUUGUAUUAACUGGUUAGCAGUUCAGCAGUGGUCCAAAGGAAUUACCUAAAAGAAACCACUAACUUUUAAUGCUGUCUGCUGUAUCUCCAUUUAGUUUAGUGCUUGAGCCCAUAUCUGCAGGUUCUCGGGUUUCACCCCACUUCCUCAAAAUGUGAACUUAGUAGGUUAAUUGACUGCCGUAAAUUUCCCGUAAAAGUGUAUAGAUGAGUGUUAGAAGCUUGUGAGAAGUAGAGUUUGAAUUUAUUUAUUUAUUGACAUACAGCACGGAGUAUGCCCUUACAUAGAAACACAGAAAAUAGGUGCAGGAGUCAGCCAUUCGGCCCUUUGAGCCUGUACCGCCACUCAGUAUGAUCAUGGCUGAUCAUCCAACUCAGAACCCUGUACCAGCCUUCCCUCCAUACUCUCUGAUCCCUUUAGCCACAAGGGCCAUAUCUAACUCCCUCUUAAAUAGCAAACUGACCUCAACUGUUUCCUGUGCCAGAGAAUUCCACAGAUUCACCACUCUCUGUGUGAAGAAGUUUUUCCUAAUCUCAGUCCUAAAAGGCUUCCCCUUUAUCCUCAAAUUGUGACCCCUCGUUCUGGACUUCCCCAACAUCGGGAACAAUCGUCCUGCAUCUAUCCUGUCUAAUCCCUUUAAGAUUUUAUACAUUUCAAUAAGAUCCCCCCUCAAUCUUCUAAAUUCCAACGAGUAUAAGCCUAGUUGAUCCAGUCUUUCAUCAUAUGAAAGUCCCGCCAUCCCAGGAAUCAAACUGGUGAACCUUCUUUGUACUCCCUCUAUGGCAUGGAUGUCUUUUCUCAGAUUAGGGGA
This is a long non-coding RNA of Mobula hypostoma (lesser devil ray), 3729 nucleotides long. RefSeq lists it as uncharacterized. The transcript has 3 exons. Lineage: Eukaryota; Metazoa; Chordata; Chondrichthyes; Myliobatiformes; Myliobatidae. The record is from RefSeq and is a predicted model, not a curated record.